AGACUUUUGCAGGGCUGUGCCUCCUUUCCUCCCCAGACAAAAUCCAUCACGUCAGCAGUCACAGGGCACCCUGGUUCCCUCUCUGAAUGAACUGUUAAAUGACUAAGCUGGCUCCCAACAGAGGCAGAGCCCAGCAAUAUGCGGCCUGUAAUCUGUCAGAUGAUACAGCAACAGGCCCAGUGAGGGGCCCGACACACCCCCCAGGAGAGUGGAGUCUCUCACUGCAUGUGACGUGGAAGACGCCGAAGAGGUGAGGGAGGCACCAUAUGCUGCGGGCCUGCCAAGGGAGAAUAAACAGCACCGGCAGCCUGGCACAGAGCUCUGGCGGGAACGUCCACCAAGAUCGGUCAGGCACUCUCAUGGCGUCCUCCUGGAUACAGGCUUUUGCUUUUGUUUUUAAUUUUGGAGCAGUGAAGCCGAAAGUGAGGAGUGAGGACAAGGAGAAGACCCAUUUGCUCCUGUUCAUUCAAACAGCAUCUCUUCAUUUUGAAAUUGGCAAGAGGCAGUUCGGGGCUGUGGCAGGUCCUGUACACCACCUGUUGCCUCCCAAGUCACUGUGCCUUUCUGGCUUUCUUUACCUAUGUCCUGUAAAACGCCAUUGGUGUAUCGGUCCUGAAGAAGAACCAAAGCUCUGAGAGAUGAGGACAUAGAAAGAUGAACUUAAAGCUGAAAAGUGAACUUAAAGCUGGAAAAAAUGAAGCAAUCUCAGCUAUGAUAGCUGUAAUAGAAAAAUGGAGUUUUCCUCAGUUUUUCUUCCUCAGAAUAAAUGGGAUGAUCCUGAUGGCUGUUUAAGUGGAGAGGAUUUGUUUGGUAUGGCUGCUGGUGCUGGCCUUGGAGGAUCUGCAUUGGCUGCGGUCUGUGGGAGAGAUAUUGACCCCUUUCUCAAUGAGCUGUUCUGGAUUAAGCAAAAGCUGUCAAUAUUGGUCCAAUUUUCAGGAGUUAAAAAUGAGUUAUUUGAUCCCAGUACAUACAGGGUUUUAUUAAAACUAAAUAACUCUGACCUAAACAUCUUCAUUCUGGGUUGUGCCAAGGAACAGAAAACGUGGACUGUAUACCGGAGCUGUGUCAGUCUGUGCCAGUCCCAGGAUGCGCUGAGACAGGCUCAGGGAAGAGCUGUCACAUCAAGGUGAUGCAGCAUUUAAUGAGAAAAGUAUGUGAAAGAGUUUGUUCAGAGGACAGCUAUCUGGCUUUUGAUGGGACUUCAAACCACAUCAGAUGUGGAGCUAAUAAAGAAAGGUAGGCUGCUUAGAUUGAAGAAGGGACUGAGCGAAUGAGAGGGAGAGAGAAACAGAAGCAAGAACUCUACAUCUUCAACAUUUUGUAGAGCAUUCCCUGCGAUGUGGAAAAUUCUGCUGGGCUAUUCCCUGAGGACACCUCUACCUUUCGUGUCCAGAAUUGGUGGGUUCUUGGUCUCACUGACUUCAAGAAUGAAGCCGCGGACCCUCGCAGUGAGUGUUACAGUUCUUAAAGGCGGUGUGUCCGGAGUUUGCUCCUUCUGAUGUUCAGAUGUGUUCGGAGUUUCUUCCUUCUGGUGGGUUCGUGGUCUCGCUGGCUCAGGAGUGAAGCUGCAGACCUUCGCAGUGAGUGUUACAGCUCUUAAGGUGGUGCGUCUGGAGUUGUUCCUUCCUCUCGGUGGGUUCGUGGUCUCGCUGGCUUCAGGAGUGAAGCUGCAGACCUUUGCGGUGAGUGUUACAGCUCAUAAAGGCAGUGUGGACCCAAAGAGUGAGCAGCAGCAAGAUUUAUUGCAAAGAGCAAAAGAACAAAGCUUCCACAGUGUGGAAGGUGACCCGAGCGGGUUGCCACUGCCGGCUUGCAGCCUGCUUUUAUUCCCUUAUCUGGCCCCACCCACAUCCUGCUGAUUGGUCCAUUUUACAGAGAGCCAAUUGGUCUGUUUUACAGAGAGCUGAUUGGUCCGUUUUGACAGAGUGCUGACUACCUCUUGAGAGUUUUCCAGGCUUCCUAAGGCUUUGGAGCUUUCCUGAGUCAGGGCCUUUGCACAUGCUAUGUCUUUUGCCAGAGAGGCUGAUUGCUCAGCAUUAUGCAUGCCUGGUUCCUUCCCAUCAUGUAGGUCUUCUGGUCAAGUACCCCCUCUUCAGAGAACGUUUCUCCCCCACCCUUCCCCUCCAGUGCGCACUGCCAAACCCUGCUCGAAACCACCCUGUUCUCUGUCCUAUGGUCACUCAGUUGACAUCACAAUCCGAAAUAUUAUUCAUUUCCCUUUCUGGGAAUAAACAUCACAGGAAUAAUCAGAGUUGUAGAAUGAGAUUUGUAUACAAGGCUGCCUAUGUCUGUGUUUUUAUAAUGGCGAAAUAUUAGAAUCAGCUUAAACAUUGACAAAUAUGUGUAAGGCUCAGUAAAUUACAGCAUAUCUUGAGGGAAGAGCAUUAGUGCAAAGACAUUAAAAUUUUGUUGUUCACGAAUGAUUGUGGGGCACAGUGGCUCAUGCCUAUAAUUAAUCCCAGUA
This 2464-nucleotide long non-coding RNA is filed under the name Homo sapiens (human). RNAcentral describes it as "long non-coding RNA NONHSAT172024.1". Lineage: Eukaryota; Metazoa; Chordata; Mammalia; Primates; Hominidae. The record is from RNAcentral.